RNAcentral lists this ribosomal RNA (229 nucleotides) under uncultured bacterium. RNAcentral's name for it is "partial 16S ribosomal RNA". It matches the Rfam family "Bacterial small subunit ribosomal RNA", at positions 568 to 796 of the family's 1533-position model. The record is from RNAcentral.
UGCGCAGGUGGGAUUGUAAGUCAGUGGUGAAAGUCUGCCGCUUAACGGUAGGACUGCCAUUGAUACUGCAAUUCUUGAGUAUGGUUGAGGUAAGUGGAAUGUGUAGUGUAGCGGUGAAAUGCAUAGAUAUUACACAGAACACCGAUUGCGAAGGCAGCUUACUAAGCCAUUACUGACGCUGAGGCACGAAAGCGUGGGGAGCGAACAGGAUUAGAUACCCUGGUAGUCC